Durio zibethinus is the source of this 1828-nucleotide RNA transcript. It is a transcript of the gene named UPF0496 protein At1g20180-like, with no coding region annotated. The record is from RefSeq and is a predicted model, not a curated record. Lineage: Eukaryota; Viridiplantae; Streptophyta; Magnoliopsida; Malvales; Malvaceae.
UGAGCAACUCUAAUAGUCGUAACCUCCGGAGAUUACUGCACUGUUUGUAAUGAGGCAACUCUUGUCUCAACCCAUUUACACGUAGAUAAACAGCCGUGCGUGGUACGCUAUCGUGCAACAAAAGCUAUAACGAUUUCAGCCUCUAUUAGCUUCUCUUCUUCUUCUUGUUUAUAUAUAAAAUCUUCCCUUCAAGCCAUCAAACUCUAUAUAAAUAUUGGCUAAAGCAAUCCAUCAUAAUCUGAUUCAUUCAAACUAUUUUGAUGAGAAAGUUUUAAAACAGAAAGCUUUGACGUUCAAGAGCAUGUCUCGAGGGAAAAAGAUGUUCCAGACAAAGCUAAAAUCAGGCAGAUCGCAGAUGGAGCGUGGAAGUAACGACGUGAAUGAAGAGUACAAGGAAGCUUUCAGAACAAAGUCUUAUGUUGACAUGUGGAGCCAAGUUCAUGGCCAGAUGGAAAUAACUAGCUUUGAUAGACUCCCAUCAUCAUCUUCCACUCUUAAUUAUCAUAUAAACCUGUCCAAUUACCUGCUUAAACCUAGGCAAGAAACACUAGACAAGAUAGGGACCUUGAAUUUUCAUCACCUUCUUCUUGACUAUUUUGAAGCUGGUUUGGAAGCUUGUCAUUUAUGUGAAUUACUUCUACGAAGCAUCUAUCAGACGCGUGUUUAUUAUCAGAAAAUUAGAAGAGUGAUCAAGAUAAACAAGAGGAUGCAAGAUUUUUCAGAUGAGCAAUGCGGCGUUCUACUCAAGGAGAUGGCUAGAUUUGCAUUACUUAAAAACCCGUUAUCGAUCAUUAGUCCAGUGCAAUUCCGGAAGAUUCAUGACACUAACCUGGAUUUGUUUCGUAAAUUAACGUCAAAACGCGAAAAGGUAAAACGGGAAGCAAAAUCUAAAAGAAUGCCCAAACAGAUUGGGAGUCUUUGUCUAGUAAUUUCUCAUACUACUCUUGUGAUUGCCUUGCUGGUACUUGCAUUCCACAGCAUGAUUGGAGUUCUAGCAGCGCCAGGGCUUGCAGCCUGGUUCUUCGGCGUAAGGAAGAAGAGAAAAAGCAGGCCAUCAUCUCAUCAGCUAGGGCUUAAGACAAGCUUGCUUGAAAGACUUGGUGCCCAGCUUGAUAUCUCAGCCAAAGGGAUUUAUAUUUUGAUCAAUGAUUUCGAUACCAUAAGUAGACUGGUAUGGAGGCUGCACGAUGAGAUAGAGCACCGUAAAGCUAUGGCUAGUAUGUGCAUUAGAAAUGGGAAAAUGGAGGUACUGAAAGAGGUGGUAAGAGAAUUAUGUAUGCACGAUUCCAGCUUCCAGGAGCAGCUGAAAGAGCUUGAGGAACAUACUAAAUUAUGUUUUCACACGAUUAACAGAUCCAGAGGGCUCGUUAUACAAGAAAUAAUUGAUGCGCAAACAUAGUAAGUAGUACAAUUCAACGGGAAUCUUUUGUCUUGCUCAUAGAGUUUAGUGAAGACAGUGUUCAUGGCAUAAUUAAGUACCAAGUAGACUAGAGUCUGUACCAUCGGUUCCGACACUUUCGCCACCUUACAGUUUUCAAGAUUUAUAUUUGCAAGAUCUGCAUCAAUCAAAAUUUGGCCGUUCUCUGCCAGCAAAGGCAGAAUCUGUACUUGCAUGACUGAAAGAUACAUGACCAUGCAAAGCACUUUCGGCUAAAACAAAACCAGGACUUACUUCCAUUACAGGUAAAGAGCUAUUCCCUUUGCCAGACAUGAUUUGCUUCUUCACCUCUAAGUGAAAUUCGUUUAGUCCAUGACUCAAGAUAACUGAAUUAUGUGGAUAAGAAAGACUAUCAAUAAAAACCACAGUUGCAUCCAUUAAAGAAUUUAU